Molecule: non-coding RNA, 95 nt
Organism: Marasmius tenuissimus
Lineage: Eukaryota; Fungi; Basidiomycota; Agaricomycetes; Agaricales; Marasmiaceae
Source: the annotation of a GenBank genome assembly
GGGCACAUGGUCCAGGUGCAGUUGGUUAUCACAUCCGCUUAGCAUUCGGGGUAUGAUUAUGCGGGGGGUGCUGGGUUCAAUUCCCAAUGUGUCCA